Coemansia sp. RSA 2681 is the source of this 83-nucleotide non-coding RNA. The record is from the annotation of a GenBank genome assembly. Lineage: Eukaryota; Fungi; Kickxellomycota; Kickxellomycetes; Kickxellales; Kickxellaceae.
GUCGGUUUGGCCGAGUGGUUUAAGGCGCGGGAUUUGAAAUCCCGUGGGUUCUUCCCGCACAGGUUCGAACCCUGUAGCCGACG